RNAcentral lists this long non-coding RNA (928 nucleotides) under Phasianus colchicus (ring-necked pheasant). RNAcentral's name for it is "lncRNA (ENSPCLG00000017131.1)". The record is from RNAcentral. Lineage: Eukaryota; Metazoa; Chordata; Aves; Galliformes; Phasianidae.
CCCCCCCCCCCCCACAGGCGUACAACUGGCAGCACAUCCAGACCCCCUCCGGACCCGAACUGCUGGAUCUCAUCUUCCAAACCCUGACCUCUGUCCUGGAGGAGUGCCCCCACCCCCACCUGGCUGAGGAGGUGGAGACCCCCCUGCUGCUCCCGGAGGCGCUGCAGCUGCUGGAUGGGACCCUCCUGCCCGACCAGCACCGCACCUGGAAGAGUUUGGGAAUGGCCUGGAACAGGAGCCGGUGGGGCGGCCCUAAACCUUCCAAUGGGGCACCCAGUGCAGAUAACCCCACCCUACCCCACCCCCAACCUCAACCCUCAUCCUAACCCAAGCCUAACCCUAAUCUAACCCAAUCCUAACCGUAACCUCAACCAAACUCAACUCCAACCCCACCUCAAUCCCAACGCAACCCAACUGAAUCACAACCCCAACCAAACCCCAACCCCAACCAAACCCCAACCCAACCCCAAUCCCAACCAAAUUCAACCCCAGCUCAACCCCAACGCAACCCAACCUCAACCCAAUCCAACCCCAAACCAACCCCAACUUCAACCCCAACUCAACCCAACUGAACCACAACCCCAACCCCAAAUCAACCCCAACCUGAACCCAACUCAACCCAACCUCAAUCCCAACCCCAAAAUCACUCCAACCCCACCUCAACCUCAACCCAACCCCAACUCAAUCCCAACCCAACCCCAACUCAAUCCCAACCCCAAACCAAUCCCAACUUCAACCCCAAAACAACCCAACUGAACCGCAACCCAACACAACCUCAACUCAACCCAACCAAUCCCAAUCCAACCCAACCCCAAUCCCAAUCCCAAUCUCAACUCAGCUCCAAUCCAACCCAACCCAACACCAGUCCAACCCAAUCCCAACCUCAACUCAACCCAACCAACCCCAACCCAAUGCCAAUCCACCCCAA